UGAGGAAUAUUGGACAAUGGGCGCAAGCCUGAUCCAGCCAUGCCGCGUGCAGGAAGAAGCAUCUAUGGUGUGUAAACUGCUUUUGUACGGGAAGAAACACUCCUUCGUGAAUGAGCUUGACGGUACCGUAAGAAUAAGGAUCGGCUAACUCUGUGCCAGCAGCCGCGGUAAUACGGAGGAUCCAAGCGUUAUCCGGAAUCAUUGGGUUUAAAGGGCCCGUAGGCGGUUUAGUCAGUCAGUGGUGAAAGCCCAUCGCUCAACGAUGGAACGGCCAUUGAUACUGCUAGACUUGAGUUAUUAGGAAGUAACUGGAAUAUGUAGUGUAGCGGUGAAAUGCUUAGAUAUUACAUGGUAUACCAAUUGCGAAGGCAGGUUACUACUAAUGGAUUGACGCUGAUGGGCGAAAGCGUGGGGAGCGAACA
This 422-nucleotide ribosomal RNA is filed under the name uncultured bacterium. RNAcentral describes it as "bacterial SSU rRNA". It matches the Rfam family "Bacterial small subunit ribosomal RNA", at positions 355 to 774 of the family's 1533-position model. The record is from RNAcentral.